RNAcentral lists this ribosomal RNA (163 nucleotides) under sludge granule bacterium 10. RNAcentral describes it as "partial 16S ribosomal RNA". It matches the Rfam family "Bacterial small subunit ribosomal RNA", at positions 370 to 526 of the family's 1533-position model. The record is from RNAcentral.
AAGGGGGGACCUGAUCCAGCCAUGCCGCGUGUGUGAAGAAGGCCUUAUGGUUGUAAAGCACUUUAAGCGAGGAGGAGGCUCUCUUGGUUAAUACCCAAGAUGAGUGGACGUUACUCGCAGAAUAAGCACCGGCUAACUCUGUGCCAGCAGCCCGCGGUAAAAA